UACGGAGGGUGCGAGCGUCAAUCGGAAUUACUGGGCGUAAAGGGUGCGUAGGUGGUUUGAUAAGUUAUCUGUAAAAGCCCUGGGCUCAACCUGGGAAGGCCAGAUAAUACUGUUGAACUGGAGUAUGGGAGAGGGUAGUGGAAUUUCCGGUGUAGCGGUGAAAUGCGUAGAGAUCGGAAGGAACACCAGUGGCGAAGGCGGCUACCUGGCCUGAUACUGACACUGAAGCACGAAAGCGUGGGGAGCAAACAGG
RNAcentral lists this ribosomal RNA (253 nucleotides) under uncultured bacterium. RNAcentral describes it as "partial 16S ribosomal RNA". It matches the Rfam family "Bacterial small subunit ribosomal RNA", at positions 524 to 776 of the family's 1533-position model. The record is from RNAcentral.